UUUAAAUUUAGAAUCUAGCGUAAAAAGAAAAUCCGAAUCAGGAACUCUAAUGUGAUGAUGAACUGACCUUAGA
Molecule: non-coding RNA, 73 nt
Organism: Arabidopsis thaliana (thale cress)
Lineage: Eukaryota; Viridiplantae; Streptophyta; Magnoliopsida; Brassicales; Brassicaceae
Source: RefSeq